GACGAACGCUGGCGGCGCGCCUAACACAUGCAAGUCGAACGAGCGAGCGAGAGCUUGCUUUCUCAAGCGAGUGGCGAACGGGUGAGUAACGCGUGAGGAACCUGCCUCAAAGAGGGGGACAACAGUUGGAAACGACUGCUAAUACCGCAUAAGCCCACAGGUCGGCAUCGACCAGAGGGAAAAGGAGCAAUCCGCUUUGAGAUGGCCUCGCGUCCGAUUAGCUAGUUGGUGAGGUAACGGCCCACCAAGGCAACGAUCGGUAGCCGGACUGAGAGGUUGAACGGCCACAUUGGGACUGAGACACGGCCCAGACUCCUACGGGAGGCAGCAGUGGGGAAUAUUGCACAAUGGGGGAAACCCUGAUGCAGCGACGCCGCGUGGAGGAAGAAGGUCUUCGGAUUGUAAACUCCUGUUGUUGAGGAAGAUAAUGACGGUACUCAACAAGGAAGUGACGGCUAACUACGU
Molecule: ribosomal RNA, 465 nt
Filed under: uncultured bacterium
Lineage: Bacteria
Description: partial 16S ribosomal RNA
Rfam family: Bacterial small subunit ribosomal RNA
Source: RNAcentral